AUGUUGGGGAGGGACGAGUUGCUGCGGCGGAGCCUCGUGACGCUGGCGGCGGCCGUCGUGGUGACCGGGGUGGCCACGGCGUCCGUGCGGAAGGCGCUGGCCACGUACAUCUUCGGCAUCCUGGCCAUCGCCGGCGUGCUGCUCCCGGACUGGGAGUUCUUCGACCGCGACUUCUCCCAGUGGCUCACCCCCAUGCCCGCCUCCCGCCGCACGGCCGCCGCCGCCGCCGCCGAACGCGAGCACGACAUUUGGAGAUUUAAACCGUAUCCACUCAGGAUGACCGUGCUCACGACGAUCUACGGGUUUGGACUUUACAAGUGGUGGACGUACGUAUCUCACUAA
This 342-nucleotide ribosomal RNA is filed under the name Triticum aestivum (bread wheat). Its description in RNAcentral is "partial small subunit ribosomal RNA". The record is from RNAcentral. Lineage: Eukaryota; Viridiplantae; Streptophyta; Magnoliopsida; Poales; Poaceae.